CCUACGUGGGGCAGCAGUGAGGAAUAUUGGUCAAUGGCCGUAAGGCUGAACCAGCCAAGUCGCGUGAGGGAAGAAGGAUCUAUGGUUGGUAAACUUCUUUUAUAGGGGAAUCAAGGUAGCCACGUGUGGAUCUUUGCAUGUACCCUAUGGAUACGCAUGGGGUAACUCCGUGCCAGGAGCCGCGGUAAUACGGAGGUAGCGGGCGUUAUGCGGGUUUAUUGGGUUGAAAGGGUGCGUAGGGUGCGUUUUAAGUCAGCGGUGAAAGUUUGUGGCUCAACCAUAAAACUGCCGUUGAAACUGGAAGACUGGAGUGUGUUUGAGGUAGGCGGAAUGCGUGGUGUAGCGGUGAAAUGCAUAGAUAUCACGCAGAACUCCGACUGCGAAGGCAGCUUACUAAGCCAUAACUGACACUGAAGCACGAAAGCGUGGGGAUCAAACAGGAUUAGAUACCCGGGUAGUC
This 460-nucleotide ribosomal RNA is filed under the name uncultured bacterium. RNAcentral describes it as "partial 16S ribosomal RNA". It matches the Rfam family "Bacterial small subunit ribosomal RNA", at positions 338 to 795 of the family's 1533-position model. The record is from RNAcentral.